Molecule: ribosomal RNA, 433 nt
Filed under: uncultured bacterium
Lineage: Bacteria
Description: partial 16S ribosomal RNA
Rfam family: Bacterial small subunit ribosomal RNA
Source: RNAcentral
AACGAACGCUGGCGGCAUGCCUAACACAUGCAAGUCGAACGAGACCUUCUGGUCUAGUGGCGCACGGGUGCGUAACGCGUCGGAACCUGCCCUUAUUAUCGGAAGAACUCCCCGCAAGGAGUCCUAAUACCGGAUAAUUUCUUCGGACCAAAGAUUUAUCGCCUUUGGAUGGGCGCGCGUUGGUUUAGCUAGUUGGUAGGGUAAAAGCCUACCAAGGCGACGAUCCAUAGCUGGUCUGAGAGGAUGAGCAGCCACACUGGGACUGAGACACGGCCAAGACUCCUACGGGAGGCAGCAGUGGGGAAUAUUGGACAAUGGGCGAAAGCCUGAUCCAGCAAUGCCGCGUGAGUGAUGAAGGCCUUAGGGUUGUAAAGCUCUUUUACCCGGGAUGAUAAUGACAGUACCGGGAGAAUAAGCUCCGGCUAACUCCGUG